This 749-nucleotide unclassified non-coding RNA is filed under the name Hevea brasiliensis (rubber tree). Lineage: Eukaryota; Viridiplantae; Streptophyta; Magnoliopsida; Malpighiales; Euphorbiaceae. The record is from RNAcentral.
GAGGAAGCGGAGCUCUCGUAUAAGCGCUAGCUUCCCCCGACCGACUAAAAUACAAGAGUCGCGACCUACUUUGAUUCAAAAGAAAGGCGAAGGCUUUGGCAAGAAGCAAACGGCUUUCUAUCAUAGUUGCAAGGCUUCCAAACCUUAAUUAAGUACCAAAGGCUGCUUUCGCUUGCUUUCAUAAGGGGGCUGUUCACUACAAGCUAUCAGCGCUGUCUUAGAUUGAACGGUAAUAAGAUAAGUCGACGUUCAAUCUCUAAGGCGGCUUUCCGCUGAUAACGGAAUAGUCUUCGGUGAACAAGGCCCUAGCUUCUAGAGUUCGCUGCUUUUCCCAGGCCGGAAAAGGGCUUAUACUGCUCGCCUUUGUUUGAUAUAUUCAUUCAGUACCAAUACAAACUACAACUACACCAAAGUAGAAAGGCCACUAUAGAAGCUAAAAGUAGCCUAUAGUAUAGUAGUCGGCCUAACCAAAGCGUCACAACAAGAGAAAAUUAACCUUAUGAAUGGAAUCUUAAGUAGAGGGCUUAGCCCGCCCGCCUACCAAUCAAAGAGGCUGAGAGUAAGCGUAAGCUCACCCGUAAGCUCUUCGAGCUUUCUCCGCCAGAGAGAGUAGAGAAGGGGAGAAGCGACUCGUCGUAGAAGCUUCGCUUCCGGGACGAAGCCAAGCCUAAAAGAUCGACUUGGCGCGGGGGGCCAAGCAUUCUGAGCUGGAAGGAAGCAAGCGGAGGCAUUACGGGCCGACCACAAGA